Molecule: long non-coding RNA, 2213 nt
Organism: Zeugodacus cucurbitae (melon fly)
Lineage: Eukaryota; Metazoa; Arthropoda; Insecta; Diptera; Tephritidae
Exons: 3
Source: RefSeq, a predicted model, not a curated record
UAACUAAUUGUUAAGCUAUGAAAUGUUUUUCAAUUUGCACCUCGGUCCCUCAUAAUCAGCGGCAUAACAAAUAAAGUAUAAAUGCAAACAAACAAAAAGAACGUAUAUAUACGUAAAUGUGUACGUAUUUGGUAAAUAUACGCUAUAUCAGCACGUAUAGCAUCAAAUAUUAUCUGAGAAAGUAAAAAAAAAGAAACGAAAAAUCGCGCUAUAUAUGCUUUAGUACGUACGUUUGUACAUAUGUACAUAUAUACUAAAUUAUUGCUGAUUUCUGACGACAUUUGUUCGGGACGUGUAGUGUUUUUGUUGUUCAUCUCUUCCAUUAGUCUAUUUUUGUCUGUGCAUAAUAUAGAAAUUGUUUUAACAAAUAUGUACAAACGUACAUACAUACAUAUGUGCAUAAGUACGUAAGCCAGCUACCAUUGAAGGGGUUUUGCUGAUUUUAUGGCAAAAUUGUAAAUUUAUAUGUAUAUCAGCUCGGUAUUGGUAAAAAAUCUUUUAGCUUAUCACUAAUCACGCACUACAUUGUCAGCCGAAAAUGUACUGAAGCAGUUGCAUCCAAAUGCGCCGCAAUUUGUCCAGCAAGUCCUCAACAUAGCAUAUUUUUGCUAUACAAUACAGCUGGUACAUAGUGCUAUACAGUUGUAUGUGCCUCGCAAAAUAAAUUGUUUGAUAUUCUUUUUAUAAAAUUUCAAUUCAAUUACCUUUCCCCCUUUUUUUAAAUGCCGUAUAUGCAGGAAAAAGUCGUUGUGCGGUAACAGCACCAAACUGUGGCAAUAGCGGCGUUAGUAUGGAGAAUUCACAGCAGUAGCAACUAUAAAAUUGUUUAAACUCAAAGCAAAGUACAAAUAAACACGACUAAAAUGAAAAAAUUAUGAAAAUUAAACAACUGCAACAACUUCUACUAUGAGCGCUCCACUUUUUCGGCUGCUAACAAGAAUCACACUCGCUUUUAAUUCUUUCUCCACUUUUGCUCCACCACCAUUGACAUCGGCGAAAUAAAGUGACAGCUGUUUGGCGUUGCCAACAACUUGUAUUAGAUGCUCCAACAACUGUGACAGCUGAGUGCAAAAUGAAAUCCACUUGCUGUGCUGCCAAUUAUGAUAACUCAUUUAAAUUGUAUUUUUAUAUAAAAUUAAUUCGAAAAAAUAUUUGUAUGUGCAUUUUACAAUAAAUUAAAUGUAAAGAAUAUCUGCAUUCAAUUAUUGUGAUUAAAGCGAGAUAAUUUCAAGAAAGCUUAGGAUAUUUCAAUGAGUUUAUUAUUUAUGACAGUUGAUUCCGGACUACAGCGCGCCUUUGCGAAAGAUUUAUAAAAGUUAUUUGACCAAGUCCAAGGACUCAAACGGAGCUGCGAUUAUUACGAUAAAUAGAGCCAAUGGUUUAAUCUACAUAACCAAGACGUACAACAAAUUAUAACCGGCUAAUAAACGCUACUAAUAAUUUUCAUAGUGAGAGGUGUACCAAAGAACGCAGAUUUUGCAAAUACAUAGGACAUGGCAUGCAAACCUUUAUAAACCAAUGUUUCAUUCGUUUCAUUUCAAUUCAGUUUUAUUCAGCAGCAAUGGCACGUAAAGUAUAAAUAAAUGUUUAUGUACAUAUGUAUUCAUGUAUAAUUUUGCAUUUUACAGUGAAAUUAAUUAAACAUAUAAUUGUAUUUUAUUAGAAAUAUAAGAAAACAAGAACAAUGUUUACCAACUAAGCGUUACAAACUUUCCAACGAACUUUCAUUGCAUGUAUCUACAUACGUACAUUUUGAUUUAUACAUAAGUACUUAUAUAUUUUUAUUUUUAGUAUACGUAUAUUUGUAUUCAAGUUAUUUGAUAAUAAUCACGUUACCUUAGACCUAAAUAUAAUUGUAAUACUUUCAUAUCUUUCUAAAGUUGGACUAUAAUUAAUCAGUUCCUAAGCGGUAUUUACAAAAUUGUAUGUAUGUAUGUAUGUAAGUCUUUUCUUGACGCUUUACUAUAAAAAAUAGGAAUUUAAAUUAUAUAAAAAAUACUUAAAUAAGCAACUUUUUUAAAGUACUUAUUUCACAUUUGUACGCUACUUAUACAUUAUGCAUUGAGUAGCGGUAGCCUGCCACUGCGCUUAUGUGUAGUUAAAUUUUGUAAUAUAAUUUAGUUGCUUAAAAUAAACACGAAACCACAACGACACAUUAAUAUGUGCUUAAUCUCAUAAUUAACUUUAUACACCAAAUAACCACCACACACACA